GGGGUCAUAGUUCAGUGGUAGAGCACUUACCUAUAAAGUGUGAGGCACUGGGUUCAAUUCUCAGCACCA
This is a non-coding RNA of Ictidomys tridecemlineatus (thirteen-lined ground squirrel), 69 nucleotides long. Lineage: Eukaryota; Metazoa; Chordata; Mammalia; Rodentia; Sciuridae. The record is from Rfam.